UCUCUCUCUGAUUGGGUGAGGAUCCCAAUCAAAAAUGUUAUCUUGUGUGUACGUUUGGUGGGUGUUUAUGGAUGGCCCUCUUUGUAUUCUUCCACAGCUUUCUUGAACUGCAUCAUCUGAGAGAAAACCAAAAAAAAAAAAAAAAAAAAGGAAAAAAAGAGAUCGGGAGAUCUUAAUUUGCAUGUCCAAUUAAGACUCUCUAUAACUCAUGUUUUAAAUUAUGUAAUAUCACUCUUAAUUGCUUGCGGUUCAAUAAAGCUGUGGGAAGAUACCAAUAGGGUCAAAAGCAAAAAAAAAAAAAGGUGUUCAAAUCGGAAUUCAUGGCUCAUCUCUCUCGGUACUGUAGACUUAAAGCAGAACAAGGAGGAAUAAAGAAUUUCAUUAAAGUUAAUCACUUCAGGUUAAACGCCGGCUAUGUCACUUUUGACAAGUCAGAAAUAAAGGGCUUAUAAUGAAAUUUCUAGUACAUUGAUUUUUUAUCCCCCCUAAUGAAAAAUGGUUAUAAGAGUAGAAGGUAGAAGGUGUGCCCAGUUGACUAGAGGAAGCAUUGGAUUCCCCUAUCACAUAUGGAUCCCUUACGAAGUGGAGUGACCAUAUACGGACUCACCGCUGUUCAACUAAGUUAAAGCCUACACUUUGAUCACAAGAACGAACAACCUUACCAUUCCAUCAAAUGUCAAGCUAGUUUUGUUUCCACAUCUUACUGCAGAACUACUGGUAUUUACAUAAGAUAUGAGAAGAGCUUAGGACUCCUCAAGCCCUGAAAACUUGGUAGAGAAAAAGAGGGUCUCUAAUGUUGGCCUUUUAUACUCAGUACCAACAGCUCAGAAUCACCAUGCCCUCUUGCCUACUGGCCCUAUUUUUAAAUUUGUAUUUUUACUUUGGACCUAUUAUAUAUAUAUAUAUAUACACACACA
Molecule: long non-coding RNA, 917 nt
Organism: Morus notabilis
Lineage: Eukaryota; Viridiplantae; Streptophyta; Magnoliopsida; Rosales; Moraceae
Exons: 4
Source: RefSeq, a predicted model, not a curated record